Molecule: ribosomal RNA, 465 nt
Filed under: uncultured bacterium
Lineage: Bacteria
Description: partial 16S ribosomal RNA
Rfam family: Bacterial small subunit ribosomal RNA
Source: RNAcentral
CUACGGGGGGCUCCAGUGGGGAAUAUUGGACAAUGGGGGAAACCCUGAUCCAGCAAUGCCGCGUGUGUGAAGAAGGCCUGCGGGUUGUAAAGCACUUUCGGUUGGGAGGACUGCUUCUAGCACUAAUAUUGUUGGAAGUUGACGUUACCUUCAGAAGAAGCACCGGCUAACUCCGUGCCAGCAGCCGCGGUAAUACGGAGGGUGCAAGCGUUAAUCGGAAUUACUGGGCGUAAAGCGCGCGUAGGCGGCUAGAUCAGUCGGGUGUGAAAGCCCCGGGCUUAACCUGGGAACUGCAUCCGAUACUGUCUAGCUUGAGUACAGGAGAGGAGAGUGGAAUUCCACAUGUAGCGGUGAAAUGCGUAGAUAUGUGGAGGAACACCAAUGGCGAAGGCAGCUCUCUGGCCUGAUACUGACGCUGAGGUGCGAAAGCAUGGGGAGCAAACAGGAUUAGAUACCCUGGUAGUC